Conger conger (European conger) is the source of this 106-nucleotide small nucleolar RNA. RefSeq annotates it as small nucleolar RNA SNORA5. NCBI's taxonomy places the organism in Eukaryota, Metazoa, Chordata, Actinopteri, Anguilliformes, Congridae. The record is from RefSeq and is a predicted model, not a curated record. The transcript has a single exon.
UAAAAUGAAGUAAAAUUCAGCUCUUGCUCAAUGUAAGAGCUGAUUAACACGAUUAGCACAUAAACCCUGCAUGUUAUGGUGCAUUGUGGGAAACGGGCAGAUUUCA